GACACAACAUGGCCACUGCCUUCUCCGGGCUGCCUACCCCAUUAAUUCUGUGCAGAUCCAUGCAAAGCCUAGCACUGCUCUAUUGCAGUGCCUCCAAAAUGAUGCUUCAAAGGAUUACAAAAUCAAACUCGGAGUCCCGUGGUUUUAUUUCCUCCAGCCUGCUUUCUGACCUCUCAAACAGAAUAAGAGGACUGGCUUGUCCUCCCCUUUUUCUUUUAUGUUGUCUUUUCUUCCUCAUUGCAUUUUCAGGUGAGCUAAACCUACCUGCACUGAAGAUAUUAAAUGAGACGUCUUCCCCGGGAAGUAAAGCUUUUCUAGGCUGUUUCCAUUGUUCUCACCAUGGGAUGACUACUGAAGAUGUGCCCAAGCUGCUGCUGGCUUGUCUUUAAAUACAAAAGAAAAAGAAAAGAAAAAAACAAGCUUUGAAUUUUCUUCUCAUCACAAAUCUAUGUCUGGAAAUGGAAGGGCAUUCUUCUUGCACAGCCAUUACACCCUGUUAUUCACCACUGUGUUAGUGACCCACUGCAAAGGUAACAGCUGUGAUUGUAUAUUGUCGUUAAUACAACUGAGCUUUGAACCAAGACCUUUAAUAAGGGAAAAAAAAAAAGCUUUAUAACAAUGAA
This is a long non-coding RNA of Gallus gallus (chicken), 623 nucleotides long. RefSeq lists it as uncharacterized. The record is from RefSeq and is a predicted model, not a curated record. The transcript has 2 exons. NCBI's taxonomy places the organism in Eukaryota, Metazoa, Chordata, Aves, Galliformes, Phasianidae.